This is a long non-coding RNA of Brassica napus (rape), 2207 nucleotides long. RefSeq lists it as uncharacterized. NCBI's taxonomy places the organism in Eukaryota, Viridiplantae, Streptophyta, Magnoliopsida, Brassicales, Brassicaceae. The transcript is spliced from 8 exons. The record is from RefSeq and is a predicted model, not a curated record.
AUUGGACUGAUUUUGUUUUUGAUCCGUGAAAUAAUUAUUUGGCCCAAAAACUCUGUCCAAGAGAAACCCUAAAAUGAGGCUGGGUCGAUGAUUUUCUUCCACAUCUCCACUUUUGAACGGAUCCUCUAUCUCCUAGAUCUGCCGUUUCCUCUUCUUCAAUAGAUCGUCGAUCUCCUAUCUAUUCCCGAGCAGAAAAGGUUUCUACACGCAGACAACAAAGAAAGGUAUCUCCAGGUCAAAGCCUUCUUCCCGGAAAGCCCCUCCCAAACACGCAGCCAUCCAAGUUUCUGAUGCUACACAGCAGGAGAUGUUGAUUUCGCACGCCUCAAAGUUGUCACUAGCCAAGCUUUUGCCUCAGCAGGUCGUUGCCGUCUUGCUUACGUGCUGACCAACGUCGCCGGCGAAGCUAUCCAUGGUAAAGGGGCGAGAAGAAAGCAUAUAUGACAUACCACCAUUCUCUCUACUAUAGGAGAAGCACACGCAUGAGCCUGGCAAGUGGCAACUCCACCAGUAGCAGUAAUGGUGCAUGCAUGGUUUGCUUUCAUGCUUAUUGCUCUUAUAUGGGAAUUUGACUUCUCAGCGUUCAUGGUUCUGAUUAUUGCCAUCCUUAAUGACGGUACCAUCAUGACAAUCUCAAAGGAUAGAGUCAAGCCAUCUCCCACACCUGAUAGCUGGAAGCUCAAAGAAAUUUUCGCCACCGGAAUUGUGCUUGGAGGUUACCAAGCCGUUAUGAGUGUUGUUUUCUUCUGGUCGAUUCACAAGACCGACUUUUUCUCCGACAAGUUUGGUGUGAGGUCAAUCAUGGACAACAAUGAUGAGCUAAUGGGUGCUGUGUACCUUCAAGUUAGUAUCAUCAGUCAAGUGCCAUCUUCGUCACGAGGUCAAGGAGCUGGUCGUUCGUUGAACGUCCUGGGGCGUUUCUGAUGAUUGCUUUCGUCAUUGCACAACUUGUUACGACUUUGAUUGCAGUGUACGCUGACUCUGGACGUUUGCUAAGGUAAAGGGUAUCGGUUGGGGAUGGGCUGGUGUGAUUUGGGUUUACAGCAUUGUUACAUACUUCCCACAAGACCUUUUGAAGUUUGCCAUUCGCUACAUCUUGAGUGGAAAGGCUUGGACCAGCUUCUUCGACAACAGGGUACAUAGAACUAACUCUCUCUGGUAGCAAGGCUUAGGGAGCUUCACACACUGAAGGGACAUGUUGAAUCAGUCGCAAAGCUGAAGGGCUUGGACAUUGACACAGCUGGGCAUCACUACAUGUGUAGUUGCAGUUGCACGUACACAUUUUACCAAAACCAACCCAUCAUGACACUGGUGGAGUUUCUCUGCUUAUAUGUUUUUUUUUCUUCUUUUUUAUAAAUAUGUGUUUCAUUAUGUAUAGAUUCAAAUGUUGUUGGUCAGAUUUUUUUUCAAUUCAGAGGAAAGAUUUGAUAUGUUUUUCUUUCUGAGGAUUUUGCAGAUCAGACAAGGGAUGUACACUAGCGUGUUCGGUGCACGAGAGCCUGAAACAGGAAGAAUACUGGCUUUCAAGAAGGCUAGGUUUGACAAUUUUGAGGCAGAUAGUGUUAGGUCCAUCACAAGACAGAUUGUGAUACUUAGGAAACUUAAUCAAGUUUUUCUCUUUAAUCAAAAGCUAAUGGUAGGACUUAGCAUUUGGGGAAUUCGAGCAUAUAUAAAGGUAUAGGUUUUAAGAAAGAAUGGGAAAGUUAAAUGUUUUAUGAGUCAUAGUAUUCUAGCAUGACUAAGGUACGUUCUCAUAUGUAUUCACACCAAUCUUUGGCUUUUUUUUUCUUAAUUAGAAACCGACGGAAUUAAAUUUUUGGUCAGGGGUUAGAAGAGAUUCAUGCAAGAUGUAGAUGCUUGUGUGCGUAAGCUAAAAGUAGAAGCACUAGCACGUGCCAGGAAAGAGUUUGUGCAUACAAGUAACGGGUUUGUUCUUUGCAGAAAGUCUAAUAAAGUGGAGAAAGAUCAUGAAAAGAGCUACAUUUGGUGGCUGGUGGUCAAAAGGGUUUUGUAAAUUUGGUAUCAUUUUGGUUGGGGAAAAGAAACAUGAGGCAAUGUAAGUUUAUAUUAUGUUAUGAACUCCAAAGUUACACCCGGCAACUUCAAAAGCACAAGAGAAGUGAAUAAGUGAUGUACUACUAUGAAAACCUUCUGUAAUUUUAACUCAAUAAUAACAAUGAAGGUAAAUAAUAAUUCUUUUUUGGUUA